UACGGGGGGAGCAAGCGUUGUUCGGAUUUACUGGGCGUAAAGGGCGCGUAGGCGGCCAGUGCAAGUCAGUUGUGAAAUCUCCGAGCUUAACUCGGAAAGGUCAACUGAUACUGCUCGGCUAGAGUGCGGAAGGGGCAACUGGAAUUCUUGGUGUAGCGGUGAAAUGCGUAGAUAUCGAGAGGAACACCUGCGGCGAAGGCGGGUUGCUGGGCUGACACUGACGCUGAGGCGCGAAAGCCAGGGGAGCGAACGGG
Molecule: ribosomal RNA, 254 nt
Filed under: uncultured bacterium
Lineage: Bacteria
Description: partial 16S ribosomal RNA
Rfam family: Bacterial small subunit ribosomal RNA
Source: RNAcentral